UUAAAUUGAAGAGUUUGAUCAUGGCUCAGAUUGAACGCUGGCGGCAGGCCUAACACAUGCAAGUCGAGCGGC
This 72-nucleotide ribosomal RNA is filed under the name Aeromonas dhakensis. RNAcentral describes it as "partial 16S ribosomal RNA". It matches the Rfam family "Bacterial small subunit ribosomal RNA", at positions 1 to 70 of the family's 1533-position model. Lineage: Bacteria; Pseudomonadati; Pseudomonadota; Gammaproteobacteria; Aeromonadales; Aeromonadaceae. RNAcentral also lists the same sequence under 1 other name. The record is from RNAcentral.